GACGAACGCUGGCGGCGUGCCUAAUACAUGCAAGUCGAGCGAAGCGGCGGAUGGGUGAGUAACGCGUGGGUAAAGUGCCCUUAAGUCUGGGAUACCAGUUGGAAACAGAUGCUAAUACCGGAUACGAAAGGAGGGGCCUGCGAUGCAUUACAUAGUUGGUAAGGUAACGGCUAACAAAGGCGAUGAUGCAUAGCCGAGUCUAGGUACUGAUCGGCCACAUUGGGACGAGGACACGGCCCAAACUCCUACGGGAUGCAGCAGUAGGGAAGCUUCCACAAUGGACGAAAGUCUGAUGGAGCAACGCCGCGUGAGUGAAGAAGGUUUUCGGAUCGUAAAGCUCUGUUGUUGGUGAAGCGGUAAUCAACCAGAAAGUCACGGCUAACUACGUGCCAGCAGCCGCGGUAAUUC
This 408-nucleotide ribosomal RNA is filed under the name uncultured bacterium. RNAcentral describes it as "partial 16S ribosomal RNA". It matches the Rfam family "Bacterial small subunit ribosomal RNA", at positions 28 to 526 of the family's 1533-position model. The record is from RNAcentral.